Molecule: small nucleolar RNA, 132 nt
Organism: Cynocephalus volans (Philippine flying lemur)
Lineage: Eukaryota; Metazoa; Chordata; Mammalia; Dermoptera; Cynocephalidae
Source: RefSeq, a predicted model, not a curated record
UUCCAAAGUGUUGCAUUCAGUUCAGGGCAGCUACCUUGUUCUGUUAAUUAAACUUUGGGACAUAGAAAUGGUCUAGGGGAGAUGAUCAGAUAGAAAGUAUUAUUCUAUUCAUUUAACUCCCAGCCUACAAAA